This 465-nucleotide ribosomal RNA is filed under the name Vreelandella stevensii. RNAcentral's name for it is "partial 16S ribosomal RNA". It matches the Rfam family "Bacterial small subunit ribosomal RNA", at positions 338 to 795 of the family's 1533-position model. The record is from RNAcentral. Lineage: Bacteria; Pseudomonadati; Pseudomonadota; Gammaproteobacteria; Oceanospirillales; Halomonadaceae.
CCUACGGGUGGCAGCAGUGGGGAAUAUUGGACAAUGGGGGCAACCCUGAUCCAGCCAUGCCGCGUGUGUGAAGAAGGCCCUCGGGUUGUAAAGCACUUUCAGUGAGGAAGAACGCCUGGUGGUUAAUACCCAUCAGGAAAGACAUCACUCACAGAAGAAGCACCGGCUAACUCCGUGCCAGCAGCCGCGGUAAUACGGAGGGUACGAGCGUUAAUCGGAAUUACUGGGCGUAAAGCGCGCGUAGGUGGCUUGAUAAGCCGGUUGUGAAAGCCCCGGGCUCAACCUGGGAACGGCAUCCGGAACUGUCAAGCUAGAGUGCAGGAGAGGAAGGUAGAAUUCCCGGUGUAGCGGUGAAAUGCGUAGAGAUCGGGAGGAAUACCAGUGGCGAAGGCGGCCUUCUGGACUGACACUGACACUGAGGUGCGAAAGCGUGGGUAGCAAACAGGAUUAGAUACCCUUGUAGUC